This 256-nucleotide unclassified non-coding RNA is filed under the name rhizosphere metagenome. RNAcentral describes it as "partial ribosomal RNA internal transcribed spacer region". The record is from RNAcentral.
GUAGGUGAACCUGCAGAAGGAUCAUUACCGAACUGUCGACACGAGCUGUUGCUGGCCCUCGAAAGGGGGCACGUGCACGCUCUGUUUACACAUCCACUCACACCUGUGCACCCUCUGUAGUUCUAUGGCCUUGGGGACCCCGUCCCCUUGCUGUGGUCCUACGUCUUUACACACACGCCGUAACAAAGUCUCAUGGAAUGUAUGUCGCGUCUAACGCAAUACAAUACAACUUUCAGCAACGGAUCUCUUGGCUCUC